UGUUAAUGUACUGACGAGGGACCCACUGAGGUCCGAAAACGUUUUACGUAAUAAAUUAGAUACUUGCAGACAGAGCUGUUUAUGAACUUUACUGUUUAUAAGUACAAUGAUACAAUGCAAAAAAUAAAUUAAAAUAAUGCAUGAAAUGCUAUAAUUCAUACCAAAAUAUAUCAGAUCAGUUUGCAUAUCUGAGUAUCAGCAUGCAAUUCAUGGUUGAUGCAUGCAAAUUAACAUCAUUUUCCAAAAUUAAACAAUUUGUUUUAUUUAUCUCACAACAAGUUAAAAAAAUAGCUUUAAUAUUAAAUUAUAAUAGGAAAAAAUUUCUUAUUCCACAGAUUAACUUUUGCAUAACUG
RNAcentral lists this long non-coding RNA (354 nucleotides) under Androctonus crassicauda. Lineage: Eukaryota; Metazoa; Arthropoda; Arachnida; Scorpiones; Buthidae. The record is from RNAcentral.